This 243-nucleotide unclassified non-coding RNA is filed under the name uncultured fungus. RNAcentral's name for it is "sequence contains ITS1". The stretch from base 1 to 97 matches the Rfam family "5.8S ribosomal RNA", at positions 49 to 154 of the family's 154-position model. Lineage: Eukaryota; Fungi. The record is from RNAcentral.
AAGAAUGCGAUAUGCAAUGUGAAUUGCAGAACCAUGAAUCAUUGGAUCUUUGAACGCAACUGGCGCUGGUAAAACCAGCAUGCUUGUUUCAGUGUGCGCAAACACAUAAACUAAAAAAAUGUGAGAGAAGUUCUCUCAUUAAAUACAUGCUCCCUGCAGCAGUCACAUCUUUUUGUGAGCUACAAGGAUGACUAACUGACUUUUAUGCACCUGAAAUCAAGCAAGAUGACCCGCUGGACUUAA